CCCUUGCCGGCCACGGCCCCGGGGCCGUUUUCCGAGUGUUCUUCGGGGCCAGCAAGAGUGGGCCUUCCUCCCUCUACUAUGUCACCGUCACCUCCAGAACCGAAGGCUUUGCCAAGGAAGCCCCUUCUCUGCUCUGGCCCCAUCACCAGCCCCGGGUCUUAAGUGGGUCCGGGGUCUCGGGGAGCACCUGCUCUGGCCUCCCCUGGCCUCCCCGACCCCAUCUCCUGACGGCUCCUCUGACGAUGUGUGUGCUGUGGAGACGUAGGCCUCCAGCCUUCCGGUGCAGCUCCAGGGACUCGGGCAGUGGGCCGGUCAGCCGGCCCCGUGGGAAGCGGACAGCCUCAUGGGGGACAGAAACAUUACAGAAACAACGUAAG
RNAcentral lists this long non-coding RNA (377 nucleotides) under Felis catus (domestic cat). RNAcentral describes it as "lncRNA (ENSFCAG00000047641.1)". Lineage: Eukaryota; Metazoa; Chordata; Mammalia; Carnivora; Felidae. The record is from RNAcentral.